AGAUUUUGAGUAUAGUGUGAGAAUACACGAGCGGCGGACGGGUGAGUAACGCGUAGGAAUGUACCCCAAAGUGAGGGAUAACUGCUCGAAAGAGUAGCUAAUACCGCAUAUGAUCUUCGGAUUAAAGCCUUCGGGCGCUUUAGGAACAGCCUGCGUAUGAUUAGCUUGUUGGUGAGGUAAUGGCUCACCAAGGCGACGAUCAUUAGCUGGUCUGAGAGGAUGACCAGCCACACUGGGACUGAGACACGGCCCAGACUCCUACGGGAGGCAGCAGUCGGGAAUCUUCCACAAUGGGCGAAAGCCUGAUGGAGCAACGCCGCGUGCAGGAUGAAUGCCUUCGGGUUGUAAACUGCUUUUAUCUGUGAAGAUUUUGACGGUAGCAGAUGAAUAAGGAUCGGCUAACUCCGUGCCAGCAGCCGCGGUCAUACGGAGGAUCCAAGCGUUAUCCGGAAUUACUGGGCGUAAAGAGUUGCGUAGGUGGCUUAGCAAGCAAGCUGUGAAAUUGUGUGGCUCAACCAUACACCCAUAGUUUGAACUGCUAAGCUAGAGUAUGAGAGAGGUAGCUGGAAUUCCUAGUGUAGGAGUGAAAUCCGUAGAUAUUAGGAGGAACACCGAUGGCGUAGGCAGGCUACUGGCUUAUUACUGACACUAAGGCACGAAAGCGUGGGGAGCGAACAGGAUUAGA
This 685-nucleotide ribosomal RNA is filed under the name uncultured Candidatus Saccharibacteria bacterium. RNAcentral describes it as "bacterial SSU rRNA". It matches the Rfam family "Bacterial small subunit ribosomal RNA", at positions 65 to 782 of the family's 1533-position model. Lineage: Bacteria; Candidatus Saccharimonadota. The record is from RNAcentral.